GUGGGGAAUAUUGGACAAUGGGCGAAAGCCUGAUCCAGCCAUGCCGCGUGUGUGAAGAAGGUCUUCGGAUUGUAAAGCACUUUAAGUUGGGAGGAAGGGCAGUAAGUUAAUACCUUGCUGUUUUGACGUUACCGACAGAAUAAGCACCGGCUAACUUCGUGCCAGCAGCCGCGGUAAUACGAAGGGUGCAAGCGUUAAUCGGAAUUACUGGGCGUAAAGCGCGCGUAGGUGGUUUUGUAAGUUGGAGGUGAAAUCCCCGGGCUCAACCUGGGAACUGCCUCCAAAACUGCAUGACUAGAGUACGGUAGAGGGUAGUGGAAUUUCCUGUGUAGCGGUGAAAUGCGUAGAUAUAGGAAGGAUCACCAGUGGCGAAGGCGACUACCUGGACUGAUACUGACACUGAGGUGCGAAAGCGUGGGGAGCAAACAGGAUUAGAAACCCGAGUAGUCC
This 450-nucleotide ribosomal RNA is filed under the name uncultured bacterium. Its description in RNAcentral is "bacterial SSU rRNA". It matches the Rfam family "Bacterial small subunit ribosomal RNA", at positions 354 to 796 of the family's 1533-position model. The record is from RNAcentral.